CAAUAGCGUAUAUUAAAGUUGUUGCAGUUAAAAAGCUCGUAGUCGGAUUUUGGCAUCACGCCGAACUGUCUGCCGAUUGGUAAGUACGGUUUGGCGGGUGCUUCUUUCUUGAAGCUCGUUCCCUUCUUAACUGAAGGGUUCGUUGGUUCAGGUUCUUUUACUUUGAGAAAAUUAGAGUGUUCAAAGCAGGCCUAUGCUCUGAAUAGGUUAGCAUGGAAUAAUAGAAUAGGACUUUGGUUCUAUUUUGUUGGUUUCUAGGACCGAAGUAAUGAUUAAUAGGGACAGUUGGGGCAUUCAUAUUCCAUUGUCAGAGGUGAAAUUCUUGGAUUAACGGAAGAUGAACUUCUGCGAAAGCAUCUGCCAAGGAUGUUUUCAUUGA
RNAcentral lists this ribosomal RNA (379 nucleotides) under uncultured eukaryote. Its description in RNAcentral is "partial 18S ribosomal RNA". It matches the Rfam family "Eukaryotic small subunit ribosomal RNA", at positions 592 to 976 of the family's 1831-position model. The record is from RNAcentral.